AGCUCUGUGGUGAAGUUCAUGUUAGAUUGCAAAUCUUGAGAUAUAUCUUAAACUGGUAUCAGCGCUU
This 67-nucleotide transfer RNA is filed under the name Platemys platycephala. RNAcentral's name for it is "tRNA-Cys". The record is from RNAcentral. Lineage: Eukaryota; Metazoa; Chordata; Testudines; Chelidae.